Drosophila subobscura is the source of this 682-nucleotide long non-coding RNA. RefSeq lists it as uncharacterized. The record is from RefSeq and is a predicted model, not a curated record. The transcript is spliced from 3 exons. Lineage: Eukaryota; Metazoa; Arthropoda; Insecta; Diptera; Drosophilidae.
CGACAGGUACAGCUGCUUAGCGUCAUCUUACGCUCAGUUCGCGUCUCCCGUCGAAGAAAAGUGUUGCUUUUUUCUUUCGCUGAUCGUUAAUAUCGUUUACGGGUACAGAAAACACGCUAAUCGGUGAUUUAAUUGGUGGCAUAUGAACAUAUCCGUUGGCCCCACAUCUUUACGCGUUUGUGUACAUGUUAGUUUGUGAAUCAAUAAACAAGUUUAUAAAUUAUUCAUUAAAACCAAUUUUGGAAGUCAUUCGCCCCUGAUUGGAAUCUUGGCAAGGGCUACGAAUCAAUGUUCCACACAAACAACACACCCAAAUAGCAAAACAUUCAACAAUUGGAGUGCAAAUAUUGAUAUUAUGGAGUCGACAGACGGACGGUAGGGACGGGGUGGACCGCACCGUCUAAUUUGCACAACUCUUUUCUUUUGCCGCUGCCUUGGCAAAGUUUAAAGUGACAGGAUUAACAGGAUGUUGCAUAAUCCGACCGUCAGACACAUGAACAGGAUAUGCCUGCAUGGCCCAGACAGGAACAGGACAGGACAGGACAGGACGGAGCACGGCGUUCUUUCACGACACACACAAAAAAAUGCAUAAUGCAAAUUACACAUUUGCAACCCUCCGAAAAAAGCUUUCACAGGAUUUACAUACGAACAUAGGAAUAUGUAUGAAUGAUGUUAUGUACAA